Molecule: ribosomal RNA, 253 nt
Filed under: uncultured bacterium
Lineage: Bacteria
Description: partial 16S ribosomal RNA
Rfam family: Bacterial small subunit ribosomal RNA
Source: RNAcentral
UACGAAGGGUGCAAACGUUGUUCGGAAUUACUGGGCGUAAAGCGCGUGUAGGCGGCUUGGCAAGUCGGGUGUGAAAGCCCCGGGCUCAACCUGGGAAGUGCACUCGAAACUGCUUGGCUUGAGUACUGGAGAGGGAAGCGGAAUUCUCGGUGUAGAGGUGAAAUUCGUAGAUAUCGAGAGGAACACCGGUGGCGAAGGCGGCUUCCUGGACAGUAACUGACGCUGAGACGCGAAAGCGUGGGGAGCAAACAGG